ACGACGCUGGCGGCGUGCCUAACACAUGCAAGUCAAGGAGAAUUCCCGACUUGUCGGGAUAGUAAACUGGCGAACGGGUGAGUAACACGUAGGUAAUCUACCCUCGGGAUCGGGAUAACCUUGCGAAAGUGGGGAUAAUACCGAAUAAAGUCUCGGUAUAAUUUGUCGAGAUGAAAGAUGGGGAUCUUCGGACCUAUUACCUGAGGAUGAGCCUGCGCCUGAUUAGCUAGUUGGUAGGGUAAAUGCCUACCAAGGCAACGAUCAGUAGCUGGUCUGAGAGGAUGAUCAGCCACAUUGGGACUGAGAUACGGCCCAGACUCCUACGGGAGGCAGCAGUGAGGAAUUUUGCGCAAUGGGCGAAAGCCUGACGCAGCAACGCCGCGUGACUGAUUAAGCUCUGAGGAGUGUAAAAGUCUGUCGUAGAGGAAGAAACUAUCCGAUAAGAAUAUUGUCGGAUACUGACGGUACUCUAUGAGAAAGCUCCGGCUAACUCCGUG
This 497-nucleotide ribosomal RNA is filed under the name uncultured bacterium. Its description in RNAcentral is "bacterial SSU rRNA". It matches the Rfam family "Bacterial small subunit ribosomal RNA", at positions 32 to 507 of the family's 1533-position model. The record is from RNAcentral.